This 496-nucleotide ribosomal RNA is filed under the name uncultured bacterium. Its description in RNAcentral is "partial 16S ribosomal RNA". It matches the Rfam family "Bacterial small subunit ribosomal RNA", at positions 28 to 506 of the family's 1533-position model. The record is from RNAcentral.
GAUGAACGCUGGCGGCGUGCCUAAUACAUGCAAGUCGAGCGAACGGACGAGAAGCUUGCUUUUCUUAUGUUAGCGGCGGACGGGUGAGUAACACGUGGAUAACCUACCUAUAAGACUGGGAUAACUUCGGGAAACCGGAGCUAAUACCGGAUAAUAUUUUGAACCGCAUGGUUCAAAAGUGAAAGACGGUCUUGCUGUCACUUAUAGAUGGAUCCGCGCUGCAUUAGCUAGUUGGUAAGGUAACGGCUUACCAAGGCAACGAUGCAUAGCCGACCUGAGAGGGUGAUCGGCCACACUGGAACUGAGACACGGUCCAGACUCCUACGGGAGGCAGCAGUAGGGAAUCUUCCGCAAUGGGCGAAAGCCUGACGGAGCAACGCCGCGUGAGUGAUGAAGGUCUUCGGAUCGUAAAACUCUGUUAUUAGGGAAGAACAUAUGUGUAAGUAACUGUGCACAUCUUGACGGUACCUAAUCAGAAAGCCACGGCUAACUACGU